CCCCGGAACCACUGGUUGAAAACGAUGGGGGAUGGACCUGUGGUAGGGGUGAAAGGCCAAGCAAACUCGGUGAUAGCUGGUUCUCCGCGAAAUGCAUUUAGGUGCAGCGUCACGUGUUCAGUUAUGGAGGUAGAGCACUGAAUGGGCUAGGGGCCCACAAGGUUACCGAACCCAAUCAAACUCCGAAUACCAUAACUCCAGAGCGUGGCAGUGAGACCAUGGGGGAUGAGCUUCAUGGUCGAGAGGGAAACAGCCCAGACCGCCGGCUAAGGCCCCUAAUUCUGGACUAAGUGGUAAACGAUGUGAGACUGCCCAGACAGCCAGGAGGUUGGCUUAGAAGCAGCCACCCUUGAAAGAGUGCGUAACAGCUCACUGGUCGAGUGGUCUUGCGCGGACAAUGUAACGGGGCUCAAGUCCAGAGGUCGACGCGGCCGCGAAUUACCCUACCUCUCCACUCGUUACCCUGUCUCAUUCAACCGUACCACUCCCAACCAUCAUCCAUCACUCUACUUACUACUACCAUCCACCGCGUCGACGCGGC
This 541-nucleotide ribosomal RNA is filed under the name uncultured bacterium. RNAcentral's name for it is "bacterial LSU rRNA". It matches the Rfam family "Bacterial large subunit ribosomal RNA", at positions 772 to 1227 of the family's 2925-position model. The record is from RNAcentral.